GCAGUUGUGGCCGAGUGGUUAAGGCGUCUGACUUGAAAUCAGAUUCCCUCUGGGAGCAUAGGUUCGAAUCCUGUCAGCUGCG
RNAcentral lists this transfer RNA (82 nucleotides) under Mayetiola destructor (Hessian fly). RNAcentral's name for it is "tRNA-Ser for anticodon UGA". It matches the Rfam family "tRNA". From Rfam's summary of the family: Transfer RNA (tRNA) molecules are approximately 80 nucleotides in length. The record is from RNAcentral. Lineage: Eukaryota; Metazoa; Arthropoda; Insecta; Diptera; Cecidomyiidae.